CGUUACUGACAGGGAGAGACACUCUGCGCGUUACUGACAGGGAGAGACACUCUGCGUGUUACCGAUAGGGAGAGACACUCUGCGCGUUACUGACAGGGAGAGACACUCUGCGUGUUACUGACAGGGAGAGACACUCUGUGUGUUACUGACAGGGAGAGACACUCUGCGCGUUACUGACAGGGAGAGACACUCUGCGUGUUACUGACAGGGAGAGACACUCUGCGCGUUACUGACAGGGAGAGACACUCUGCGCGUUACUGACAGGGAGAGACACUCUGCGCGUUACUGACAGGGAGAGACACUCUGCGUGUUACCGACAGGGAGAGACACUCUGCGUGUUACCGACAGGGAGAGACACUCUGCGUGUUACUGACAGGGAGAGACACUCUGUGUGUUACUGACAGGGAGAGACACUCUGCAUAAGGGGGCGGGUCCAAUGAUUGCCACGCCCUCUCUCUUAUUUUCAGCCAAUCAGAAGCCAGGCAUGCUGCUAUUUCUGAAAGCCUUUCCUUAUAUGUUUGGUUUCCAUAGAAACGGGUGGGAGCCAAUCAUGUUGUCCCAGAGUUGUGCGGACACGCCUUGUUGUUGUUUCACAUGCCAUACUUGCAAAUGCGUCAUUGCAAC
Molecule: non-coding RNA, 624 nt
Organism: Pelobates cultripes (western spadefoot toad)
Lineage: Eukaryota; Metazoa; Chordata; Amphibia; Anura; Pelobatidae
Source: the annotation of a GenBank genome assembly